RNAcentral lists this ribosomal RNA (489 nucleotides) under uncultured bacterium. RNAcentral describes it as "bacterial SSU rRNA". It matches the Rfam family "Bacterial small subunit ribosomal RNA", at positions 27 to 494 of the family's 1533-position model. The record is from RNAcentral.
GAAUGAACGCUGGCGGCGUGCUUAACACAUGCAAGUCGAGCGAGGCCAGGGGGGCAACUCCCUGAGUCGAGCGGCGGACGGGUGAGUAACACGUGGGUAACCUACCCGGAAGUGGGGAAUACCUCGGGGAAACUCGAGCUAAUACCGCAUGACAUCUUUGGGACGAAAGUCCUGACGAUCAAAGCGGGGUCGCAAGGCCUCGCGCUACCGGAUGGGCCCGCGCCCGAUUAGCUAGUUGGCGAGGUAAUGGCUCACCAAGGCGACGAUCGGUAACCGGCCUGAGAGGGCGAUCGGUCACACCGGAACUGAGACACGGUCCGGACUCCUACGGGAGGCAGCAGUGGGGAAUCUUGCGCAAUGGGCGAAAGCCUGACGCAGCAACGCCGCGUGGAGGAUGAAGGCCCUUGGGUUGUAAACUCCUGUCGGCUGGGAAGAACUCGUUCGCGGUUAAUACCCGCGGACGUUGACUGUACCAGCAAAGGAAGCCCC